CCCUUAGACGUUCUGGGCCGCACGCGCGCUACACUGACCAGUGCAACAAGCAUCCGUCCUUGGCCGACAGGCCCGGGCAAUCUUUGAACGCUGGUCGUGAUGGGGAUAGACUUUUGCAAUUUUUGGUCUUCAACGAGGAAUUCCUAGUAAACGCAAGUCAUCAACUUGCAUUGAUUACGUCCCUGCCCUUUGUACACACCGCCCGUCGCACCUACCGAUUGAAUAGUCCGGUGAAGCCUCCGGAUUGGCGCGCACCUCGGUGCCGCCGAGAAGUUGGCUAAACCUUACCAUUUAGAGGAAGGUGAAGUCGUAACA
RNAcentral lists this ribosomal RNA (315 nucleotides) under uncultured eukaryote. RNAcentral's name for it is "partial 18S ribosomal RNA". It matches the Rfam family "Eukaryotic small subunit ribosomal RNA", at positions 1470 to 1796 of the family's 1831-position model. The record is from RNAcentral.